This is a long non-coding RNA of Paramisgurnus dabryanus, 2165 nucleotides long. RefSeq lists it as uncharacterized. The record is from RefSeq and is a predicted model, not a curated record. NCBI's taxonomy places the organism in Eukaryota, Metazoa, Chordata, Actinopteri, Cypriniformes, Cobitidae.
UUAAACAGAGCAUAAAUAAUUACACAAUUCAUUUCUCAUCAACACAAUAAAACAAUCGCACACCAAAUAUCAAUUUAAAAACAACAUUUACAUUCAAACAUAAUGUAAUUGAUUUAAGUUUUUUUUAAAGCAUGUAGUGUACUGCAGUAUUAUCAUGGUAUAGUAAGUAUAAUACUAUAGCUGUACCAUGGUAUAGAUCAAAACAUCAUGACAGUACCAUGUACUAAACCAUAAAAUAAAAACCAAAAUAAUCCCUGCCAAUACUGUUUACUGUAUUUUACACAUGAAUUUGUUUCCAUAAUAAACAAAGCCUGUCACGUAAAUAAAUUCACGAUUAUGUGUAUUUCAGUUUCAGCCGCUAGAUGUCACUGUGGCGCCACAUUCACCUCCACACCGCCAAUUAUGAAGAUGGAUAAAAUAUGAACGAUUUAAACUACGAGUGUGGGAACUGAUUCUGACCGCUGACAACAAAACAAGCUGAACAUUUGAGAUUUCGAGAUCUGACCCUGUCUCUUGUUUAUAUGCGUCCCGAGCGAAACGCACCCAACCACAACAUCAAUCAGCCACCGAUAAUAAAUGCACAGAUGCUCUUCAGAGAGCUCGAGAAACAAUGUCGACCAGAAGGUCCAGAGAAGACCGGCAGUUCUUCAACAAUUCAGAUGUUGGCAGUCACCCUGAUCUCUCAUCAGAAAUAAAGAACAGAGUAAUCACAAUUCCUCUCUUUUUGAAGUCAGUCUCUGUAAACUUGACACCAUCCUCACACAAGCAGGGACAAACUCUACUCUGCCUGCCCCCUAGAGGCCUCACAAAAUAAUUCCACCUGUCACCAUGACAACGCUCCACACCUGCUGGUGUCACCUGUAUCUCCAGCCUGUAUCGUAUGUCCAAACUUCCUGCUUUUACUGGGUUAACGUGCCAGCCAACGACAGCACAAUUUCACAAAAAUUUGCAGUGUGUGUAUAGUCAUACCUGCGAACCGUGAGACGCAGUGUUUUGUAAGAUCCUUUCACGAGAGAAAUGGCCUCCUGUCUCCAUCCACUCAACUCAACCUCAUUAAUUAUGACAACCUCAUCUCCAACCUGUAGUGGGUGCUGUAACAGAGAUGCUUUGCCGCCCUCCUCUACCUGUGGAUACACACAAACACACACAUAAAGAUUGUGUGCACUCAGUAUGAUAAUACAUGGAGGCUACAAAGGAUUUAUGAAGAAAAUUAAAAACACAUGCUUGCUCAACUGCACAGAGCCAGCUUAGAAUUCAAAGAAUGUUUUCUUUGGACCUUCUCGUCUACACAUUCAGAGUCUCCAGACACUAAUAUUUCAUAUAAUCUCUCGCCCCGUAUACAGAGGACGGAGUCCCACGUUACAAAAGCUCUGCGGUGCAUCCAGUCAACAAUGUCAUUAUACACCUGAAAAGAGCCAGAAAGACUUGCAUUCAUUCUGUUCCUGCUUCUGAACAACACAAAGAGCACAAGGCAUUAGUCAUGCACAGGAAACCUAAUGUUUAGAUAUUUCCACCACAAAGAAACCUCUGUGAAGCCCAAGAAGCAUCGUACCAUUAACAAGAAGGGCAGAAUUUGUUUAUAGAUAAGAUCUGUUAAUGUACUUUUAUUUUAGACAUGUGAUGUCUCACUCUGGAUUGUUCCAACAAUGAAAAGUCCUGUGGUGUGACAUUGAAAUAUUUCCCCUGGAAACAAAUGUUUCGAUUGUAUAUGUAACAAAAGCAAUUAGUGAGCAGUCAAAAUGAUUCAGAAUUUUGUUUAUUUAAAAAAUAAUCACGGAUAUGCGUCUUGCUCAAGGGGACAAUGGAGGCAGUCAUGUUAUUUUUUGCCAAGCAGAAGAUAUUCUUGUAUUAAUAACAUUACUGUCAAACAAACCUAGUUCCAACCCUAACUAUAGCUGGACGAUAUUGACCCAAAUUCAUAUCACAUUAAUUCCUGGAUUAAUAUGUGUGCACGUUAUUAAAGACAAAUGCAAUACAUGGUAAUUUGCUGAAUUAUGCGAUGAACAGUAUGUGCUUGCUAAAUAAAAUUGAACUUAUUUAAAACAUAACAAAAUACAUGCUUCACAUUCUUUCCGACCAUUGAUCAUCUUCCACAUGUCAAAGCAGCCAUUUUCACUUUACUUAAACUUUGAAUAUACAUAAACCUUUCAAGUAUUAAAAUGACU